AGGGGCAAAAGUGAGGGGCAUAGGCUGGCAGAGUCUCUAGACAGGCUCCUUCAGUCCUGCCGCUGCUUUGUGUUGGGAGAGACAGAGAAGAAGAAAACAAGAGAAUGAGAGAGACAGACUCGGACAGACUCACACCCAGGAAGAGCUGAAGAAGAGGGCAUCGAACUGACAAACCGAGUAAUUCCUCCCUUCUUCACUCUGGAAGAAGCCAAGAAUAGAGCUUGUUCAUCCCAAGAGACAGCAUGGGGUUCUCUGGCUCCCAAGGACCACUGAGGACAAGAUGGAAAAACAUAGCCACUGAACCUCUAGAGAAAAAGGGAUAGCUCACUCUGGCAACCAGGGAGUUCCUCUGCUGCCAUUCUCCCCAUACCAAGCUGUCUCCUCAGCAUGAGCAGGCGAGAAGGAAGAUAGCUAUUUAAAAUGAAAGACAGGUCAGGAAGAGGGAGUGGGCACAGAUGGGCAAUGCUGAGCAGAUGGACAAGAGGGAGAUAUAAAGGAAGAAGAAUGAAGGGUACAUAUGAGAAGGGAGAAGAGAGGGAAGGCAAAGAAGAAAUAAGUAAUGGAGGAGAAGGAAGAAAGUCAGGGAUAGAGGCAUGCUUUUUUUGUUUGCCAAGAUGGAUAAAGAAGGAUGGGAUGUUCAUGCAGAGGACUUGCAUCUAUUGAUCCCGCCCAGUCAAGGCCAGAUAGUGGGAAGGGCAGAACUACAGAGAGAGGGCAGGAACAGAUCCUUCUGUGGAUCAACCAAGCUACGGGAGACAGGGAACUCAUCCUGCAGGACCUACCUAAAUACUGGAUAUUUCUGCCAAACCAGGAAUUUAUCAAAGGCAAUGGAGAAAAGCUUCCAAAUGAACACAAAAGGAGGCUAGAAUGACAGGAGGCUGCAGAAUCGGAUUCCAGGAGCUCCAGCAGGGAGAUGGGUGAGGAAUGGGAUUUUUUAGCAGCACCCAGCUGGCUCUUUAAAGAGUGUCAUCUGAUGCUCUGAGGGGAAAUACAUCCUUUAAGGGACUGAUUUGAGGAUUUAAGGAAUAAGAAACAGUAAAAAGGCUUUAUUUUAGAAAGUAUCCCUCUAGUAGGAGGCUAGAUCUAGGAAGCUUUGGGGCUUAAAGCCUUGGGAGGGGCUAACUAAAGAGGGCAAGAAGGCCUGCCAUCAGAGACAGAUUACUUAAGAUUUGAUUGAAAGAAACUGAGGAGGGUGUAAAGCCAGAUGAAGGUUUUCUGGUGUUAACUGCCAUAGAGCUGAAUGCAGUGGCAGAGGAGGGUCACUGUAGCUAAGAGACAGGGUUUUCUAGGCUAGGAAUUCUGAUUUGAUCUCUUUACCACCUAGGGCUUCCUGUAAGAGCCAGCAGUAAGUACAUCAAAAUUGGGAGAGAGGAAGUAGAAACUCAAGGACUCUAUAUUCUCCAGAGCCCACCCGUCGGGCUAAACCCAAGACUGGUAGAUGAAACAAAGCAGUUCUCAGUGGGGUGUCAAGACCUCAGGACUCAGUGACUACUGCCACCUAUUGACCCAAAUUUGUUCAAGAUAGACCUUUAAUACACUUCUUACACAGUGACGCUCUGUUAUUUCAAAAGCAUCAAUAGCUUAAACAUGCAAAGGCAUGGCUCUUGGGGCUUCUCUGAGACCCUCUGAACAAUGAGAUCAAAGAAAUACAAAAGCAAGACUGGGCAGAGAGCCAAAGCAAUGAUGCCUUUCUCUUUGCAAAGGCAGAAAAAGAGGCCCAAGCAAUGAAAAAGGAAAUUUAUGCCUCCUCUAGGGUCUGCAAGCAAAGAGAAAAGGGGAUAAAAAUUUUUCCCAAGCACUGGUAAAAAUCUUGUGCAUCACAAUGAGUGAAGCAUUUCCAAAACAGUAGAAGGCAGAUUUCAUUAAUAUGCCUUCAAAAAGUUGGCCAAAUACUUGGGUUGCACUGGUAUUUACAGAGCUAGCUGAUAGCAGGGAAGAUGAGGGACACUGAAGACUGUGCCAAUUCUCAAUCUGUACCAAUCAGGACUGAGAAAGAAACUAGGUUCCAAGGACAGAUUUAUACCAUGAAGUUCUAUUGGGAUGUUUAGUAUGUGUCUUCCACAAACCCAAGAUAAGAAAUGAGAUGUGAGAUUGAACUCUCCGUGGUGCUGAAAAACUGAUUAACUGCAAUCAGGUCAUCAAGGUAUUCAUGAAGAUUCUUGUGAACUUCUGACAGACAUUCCCCCAGCCCUCAUAACAUCCUACAAAACAAAGUUUUUGAGGCAAAAACAGGCCUUUGUCAAUCUUCUUUGCCCACUGCCUAAGAGGAAAAACCAAGACAGAGAUGCUAAAUUACUUGCUUAGAACAAAGCCAUGACUCUCACCAUCAUGUGGUAACAAUAAACAGGUGCUCAUGUGCACUAAUGACAUUACAGUGAA
This is a non-coding RNA of Ictidomys tridecemlineatus (thirteen-lined ground squirrel), 2379 nucleotides long. The record is from RefSeq and is a predicted model, not a curated record. Lineage: Eukaryota; Metazoa; Chordata; Mammalia; Rodentia; Sciuridae.